GACGAACGCUGGCGGCGUGCUUAACACAUGCAAGUCGAACGGAAAGGCCCUGCUUGCCGGGUACUCGAGUGGCGAACGGGUGAGUAACACGUGGGUGAUCUGCCCUUCACUUCGGGAUAAGCUUGGGAAACUGGGUCUAAUACCGGAUAGGACCGCACUUUAGUGUGUGUGGUGGAAAGUUUUUUCGGUGUAGGAUGAGCUCGCGGCCUAUCAGCUUGUUGGUGGGGUAAUGGCCUACCAAGGCGGCGACGGGUAGCCGGCCUGAGAGGGUGUACGGCCACAUUGGGACUGAGAUACGGCCCAGACUCCUACGGGAGGCAGCAGUGGGGAAUAUUGCACAAUGGGCGCAAGCCUGAUGCAGCGACGCCGCGUGGGGGAUGAAGGCCUUCGGGUUGUAAACUCCUUUCGCUAGGGACGAAGCUUUUUGUGACGGUACCUAGAUAAGAAGCACCGGCUAACUACGUG
RNAcentral lists this ribosomal RNA (465 nucleotides) under uncultured bacterium. RNAcentral describes it as "partial 16S ribosomal RNA". It matches the Rfam family "Bacterial small subunit ribosomal RNA", at positions 28 to 507 of the family's 1533-position model. The record is from RNAcentral.